RNAcentral lists this transfer RNA (72 nucleotides) under Pseudogramma paucilepis (Weakscaled podge). Its description in RNAcentral is "tRNA-Val". Lineage: Eukaryota; Metazoa; Chordata; Actinopteri; Perciformes; Serranidae. The record is from RNAcentral.
GGUAAUGUAGCUAAAUACAAAUAAAGCAUCUCCCACAUGAAGAAAAUGCCCGUGAAAACCGGGCCACCCUCA